GAUGAACGCUAGCGGGAGGCCUAACACAUGCAAGCUGAGCGGUAUUUGUCUUUCGGGACAGAGAGAGCGGCGUACGGGUGCGUAACACGUGUGCAACCUGCCUUUAUCAGGAGGAUAGCCUUUCGAAAGGAAGAUUAAUACUCCAUAAUAUAUUAAUUGGCAUCAAUUGAUAUUGAAACUCCGGUGGAUAAAGAUGGGCACGCGCAAGAUUAGAUAGUUGGUGAGGUAACGGCUCACCAAGUCGAUGAUCUUUAGGGGGCCUGAGAGGUGAUCCCCACACUGGUACUGAGACACGGACCAGACUCCUACGGGAGGCAGCAGUGAGGAAUAUUGGACAAUGGGUUAGCGCCUGAUCCAGCCAUCCCGCGUGAAGGAUUAAGGACCUAUGGUUUGUAAACUUCUUUUGUACAGGGAUAAACCUACCCUCGUGAGGGUAGCUGAAGGUACUGUACGAAUAAGCACCGCUAACUCCGUGCC
RNAcentral lists this ribosomal RNA (477 nucleotides) under uncultured bacterium. RNAcentral describes it as "bacterial SSU rRNA". It matches the Rfam family "Bacterial small subunit ribosomal RNA", at positions 28 to 509 of the family's 1533-position model. The record is from RNAcentral.